UCUAGGUCAUUCUUGGAAAACCCCAGGUUUCAUCCUUCCUUACAGAAUAACAGGUCCUACAAGCAUAACAGCAGCUGAUUGAAUCGACAACAGUAUUUUUAGCCAAGCUUCGUUAAAGAUUCAACACAAAGCCAAACUGUGUUAGUCAUAACAUUGGAAUUUUCCAACACUUCAGAACUGCCAGAUACAGAGCACAGUAGCUGUCACAGGAGAGGAUCUUUGUGAUUAGAA
Molecule: long non-coding RNA, 231 nt
Filed under: Felis catus (domestic cat)
Lineage: Eukaryota; Metazoa; Chordata; Mammalia; Carnivora; Felidae
Description: lncRNA (ENSFCAG00000047317.1)
Source: RNAcentral